GUGAGGAAUAUUGCGCAAUGGAGGCAACUCUGACGCAGCCAUGCCGCGUGCAGGAAGAAGGCGCUACGCGUUGUAAACUGCUUUUAACCGGGAAGAAACCCCAGGACGUGUCCUGGGUUGACGGUACCGGAGGAAUAAGCACCGGCUAACUUCGUGCCAGCAGCCGCGGUAAUACGAAGGGUGCAAGCGUUAUCCGGAUUCAUUGGGUUUACAGGGUGCGUAGGCGAGGCGUUAAGUCAGUGGUGAAAUCUUUCAGCUUAACUGUAGACUUGCCAUUGAUACUGGCGCUCUUGAGUGCGCUUGAAGUGGGCGGAAUGUGCCGUGUAGCGGUGAAAUGCUUAGAUAUGGCACAGAACACCAAUUGCGAAGGCAGCUCACUAAGGCGAUACUGACGCUGAGGCACGAAAGCGUGGGGAUCGAACAGGAUUAGAAACCCCAGUAGUCC
This 445-nucleotide ribosomal RNA is filed under the name uncultured bacterium. RNAcentral describes it as "partial 16S ribosomal RNA". It matches the Rfam family "Bacterial small subunit ribosomal RNA", at positions 354 to 796 of the family's 1533-position model. The record is from RNAcentral.